Molecule: ribosomal RNA, 428 nt
Filed under: uncultured Gammaproteobacteria bacterium
Lineage: Bacteria; Pseudomonadati; Pseudomonadota; Gammaproteobacteria
Description: uncultured gamma proteobacterium partial 16S ribosomal RNA
Rfam family: Bacterial small subunit ribosomal RNA
Source: RNAcentral
UGGGGAAUCUUGGACAAUGGGCGAAAGCCUGAUCCAGCAAUGCCGCGUGUGUGAAGAAGGCCUUCGGGUUGUAAAGCACUUUCAGUGGGGAGGAUGUUAACCUUUUUUAAUAAAGAAGGUUGAUGACGUUACCCACAGAAGAAGCACCGGCUAACUCUGUGCCAGCAGCCGCGGUAAUACAGAGGGUGCAAGCGUUAAUCGGAAUUACUGGGCGUAAAGGGUGAGCAGGUGGUAAAUUAAGUUAUGUGUGAAAUCUUUGAGCUUAACUUAAAAACUGCACAUAAUACUGAAUUACUAGAGUACUGUAGAGGAUAGUGGAAUUUCCGGUGUAGCGGUAAAAUGCGUAGAUAUCGGGAGGAACACCAGUGGCGAAGGCGACUAUCUGGACAGAUACUGACACUAAUACACGAAAGCGUGGGGAGCAAACA